This 516-nucleotide long non-coding RNA is filed under the name Hordeum vulgare. RNAcentral's name for it is "long non-coding RNA (HVUL_LNC005288)". The record is from RNAcentral. Lineage: Eukaryota; Viridiplantae; Streptophyta; Magnoliopsida; Poales; Poaceae.
CUCUCUCUCUCUCUCUCUCUCGCACAGCACACACACCGAGUGAGUGUGGUGUGGCGUGGGCGGAGGGAGAGGGAGUAGAAUUGGAGCGAGCGGAUGAAAUAGGAAAAGGAGCCCUGCGUAGUACAAGUAGGGAGGAAAGGGAAGGGAAGGGAAGGGAAGGUCCGGAGGUGGAGGACGGGCGAUGGCUGGGGAGGGAGGGAGGGAGGGGAGGGGAUGGGGAGGAUGGUGAAAAAGAGUGGGAGCGUGGACAACUGGAAAGGGCCCCAAAGAGUGUAAGAAAGAGAGAGAGGUGGGAGGAGAGAGGAAGCUAGCUAAGCAAAGGAGAGAAGAAAAAAGAGAGAGAAAGUAGGAGGGUGCCCCUACAAAGGGAAGGGCUGGUGGUGCCUCUACUGAUUGAUCUCUACCCUACGACUCUUCCUCCCUCCCUCGCUCCCUCCAUCUUCCAUCACUCCCACCAAGAACCUAAACUCCACCGCAGUACACUCUGCAGCAAAGGUAGUAUACGACGCCCUAUGU